UACAGAGGGUGCGAGCGGUUGUUCGGAAUUAUUGGGCGUAAAGGGCGCGUAGGCGGUGCGGUAAGUCACCUGUGAAAUCUCCUGGCUCGAACUGGGAGCUUGCAGGCGAAACUGCCGUGCUGGAGUGGUGGGAGAGGGUGCGUGGAAUUCCCGGUGUAGCGGUGAAAUGCGUAGAUAUCGCUUGGAACGGCCGCAGGUGAA
This 201-nucleotide ribosomal RNA is filed under the name uncultured bacterium. Its description in RNAcentral is "partial 16S ribosomal RNA". It matches the Rfam family "Bacterial small subunit ribosomal RNA", at positions 524 to 719 of the family's 1533-position model. The record is from RNAcentral.